ACAUCAGUGAAGUAUUAGGUAGUGUUUGCAAUAGUUGAGUUAGAGGAAAGCAUUGAAAUCAAUUCUGAUUCGGUUGAUGAUUAUAUCAGUGACAUCUCUGGGCAACUCAACAAAUUUGAGUUUUAACAGUCUGGAAGAAGAGGGUUACCAGCGGGGUAGAAGUGGAGAGAAGAAAGGUUGUGUGAUGUGUGUUGAAGUCUUGGUUCGAGAAAUUUUAUGAUUCUUAAAUCAUCCUUCACUGGGAAUAUAUUUUCGAACCUAAUUCAACAAGUUCAUGAUAGAUUGGUUUUGCUUAUAUGUGUAGUUUCAGUAUUUAUUAGAACUUGUACUCUACGGAGGAUCUGGAAAACUCAACAUCACAUCGAUCUCAUCCAUGGUGGUGAUGUUCAUGGCCGAUUCCAUAGACUUCCAUCAGGUGCAAUGAGGCUGAAAAUCGUCUCGCAAGGCAGAUUGGCUAUUUGAAUCGUUCUUCUCAACUCUAGUACUGUCGUAUUCGAAGAGAAAACCCCUUUCAGCCAGGGGUGGACUUUGAGUGCUAGACUGGUUGGUUUCUGACCUAGGCUACAGGGUGGUGCAACUUUUACCUUCCACAGGGUGGUGCAACCUUCACCUUCUACAGGGUGGUGCAACCUUCAUCUCCUACAGGGUGAUCCCAGUGGACUAAAGUUACCUAGGUAUCAGGAAGAGUACGGGGUGAUCUAAUCCUCCACUGACGACAACUCUACUAGGACAGCAAUCCAAACCUAUUUGAGUUGGGACACGCAAGUUCUUGAUUAUAUAUCUAUUUGCCUAUAAUUCGUUUAUUUACCUCGAUAGCUGAUUGCUUACCUGAAUAAUAAGAUUGCGGCACGAAUUUUGUUCGGCUGCCCGCGCAUAUAUGUAUUUGUGUGUACAUAUCGAUAAAUUUUAUUGUUUUUAUUGCCCUUGCUUACUUUGCUUGGUUGUAACUGUCACUCGACUGAAAAUAUUGUUUAAGAGCUGUAAUAAUUGUGUAAGUCGUUCGGUGUACUACUUACAUAUGUUGUAACCGUAAUAAAGCGGAUAUUGGAGUGCUUGAGUACGUCAUAUCGGGCACUUGGCCCGCCUCAUUAACGCAUGCGCAACACGUGAGCUCACGCGGUCGCAAAAUAAAUUGCAUUUUGACUCAGAUCUUCCAAAUGCCGAGUGUUAAAUGUUGUUGUUGACAAUUGAUGCGGUAACAGUAUUGUUGUUUUUUGUUUUGUUGUUGUUUUUAUUCAUACUCAUUACCUCCAUUGUCCUUCGGACAAACAAGAUAAUAUUGCUGAAUGCUUGUUUAUGCUUGAUUAUUUUACUUUUGUUUGUUAUUCAACUCGAGAUGGGUAAUGUGUUCGACUUGCGAGUUACAGAUACUGGUGCUUGACCUGUAAUGACGCUUGCUUUGUUUUUUAUAAUAUAAGUUUAGUAAAGCCUAACUUCCUGGAA
Long non-coding RNA from Leptinotarsa decemlineata (Colorado potato beetle), 1443 nucleotides. RefSeq lists it as uncharacterized. NCBI's taxonomy places the organism in Eukaryota, Metazoa, Arthropoda, Insecta, Coleoptera, Chrysomelidae. The record is from RefSeq and is a predicted model, not a curated record.